AAACCACUUCCUCAAGUCACUUGUAUCCAUAAUCCCUGGAUGACAGCAGGGAUUUUAGGGUAGUGGAAACAGCCCCGUACUCAGUGACCAGCUGCUGAGCAAUGAUUUGGAAGGACUGUCUCAAUUACAGCUGAAGCACAGCCUUCAUCACCUCCAGGUGACAGAAUUACCAGAGCAUGUUUUGCUACAUAUGCAAGGAACAAACUAAAUCCCAACAGGAUAUCACCAUACUGUGCCCGUGCCAUCCAGAAGUAAGACAUCUUAAAGCAUUUCUGAUAAAGACCUGAGAGCUGGUCAUUUGGAAAACUGGGCCCUUUGAACGAUCUUAAAUGGGACACACAUUGUGAUUCUCCUGUUGAAAAUUUAUUCUUGAAUUCCUGGUGCUUGCUUGAAGUUUACACUGCUAAGAAUACUGAAGACAGUGCAAAUACAUUUAUUUUCAGCAACAUCCUUCAUGGACAAGUGCUUAUAAGGGAUGAGGAGACUAUUUCCACAGUACACAAAAAUAUCUCUGGCAACAAUAGGAGCAGUCACUCCUUUGCUCAUCUGCAAGAUAAAAUGUUCUUCUGUAAAAUAGCAGAGGCCACAUGGAGGAAGUUAUGGAGGAAGUUUGCCAAAGAUUUUGUCUACAUUCACUAA
Molecule: long non-coding RNA, 639 nt
Organism: Junco hyemalis (dark-eyed junco)
Lineage: Eukaryota; Metazoa; Chordata; Aves; Passeriformes; Passerellidae
Source: Ensembl